UCUGUGCUAAUUUACAUCUGCCG
RNAcentral lists this microRNA (23 nucleotides) under Chrysemys picta bellii (western painted turtle). RNAcentral's name for it is "Cpi-Mir-9594_3p (mature (co-guide))". RNAcentral also lists the same sequence under 1 other name. Lineage: Eukaryota; Metazoa; Chordata; Testudines; Emydidae. The record is from RNAcentral.